This 64-nucleotide transfer RNA is filed under the name Cherax sp. HG-2014a. RNAcentral's name for it is "tRNA-Leu". Lineage: Eukaryota; Metazoa; Arthropoda; Malacostraca; Decapoda; Parastacidae. The record is from RNAcentral.
AUCUAAAAUGACAGACAGAUGUAUAGGAUUUAAGCUCCUACCAGGAAGAACACCUUCUUUUAGA